Molecule: ribosomal RNA, 207 nt
Filed under: uncultured bacterium
Lineage: Bacteria
Description: partial 16S ribosomal RNA
Rfam family: Bacterial small subunit ribosomal RNA
Source: RNAcentral
CGGAUUGCAGCCUGCAACUCGGCUGCAUGAAGCUGGAAUCGCUAGUAAUCGCGGAUCAGAAUGCCGCGGUGAAUACGUUCCCGGGUCUUGUACACACCGCCCGUCACACCAUGGGAGCCGGGAAUGCCCGAAGUCAGUGGCCCAACCGCAGGGAGGGAGCUGCCGAAGGCAGGCCUGGUGACUGGGGUGAAGUCGUAACAAGGUAGC